This 9362-nucleotide long non-coding RNA is filed under the name Capsicum annuum. RNAcentral's name for it is "long non-coding RNA (CANN_LNC006165)". The record is from RNAcentral. Lineage: Eukaryota; Viridiplantae; Streptophyta; Magnoliopsida; Solanales; Solanaceae.
CAAAAAUGAAAUAUUUGUUUCGAAGAAGGAUUGUUUUUACAUCUGAAAUCAGAGUUGCCACUUGGCAUAAUCUGGUGUGCCAAGUCACCAUUGGAAAAUCCUUUGCAAAACCAUUUGACUCUUUAAACUGGUUUGCGAAUAGAGAUUCCAUCUAAGGAAUUCUGUUGACCGAGGGGAAGGUGUUAGGCACCCCUCGAUCCCAUGGUUCAGCCACGGUCACUUGGUGGAACAUAUCGGCUAAUUCGACACUAAGAGUGUAUAAACCACACAAAAACAUACAAACCAAUCAAUCAAUCAAACAAACAAACAAAUCCAAAAUUAUAGUGUUCAGUCCAAUUAUUACAAUCCAAAAAUAAAAAAAUGCAAAAAAUAUAAAUCCUAUUCUAAGCUAGUCCUAGACUAAGCUCCAAUGCUUCACCCGAUGCCUCGGGCCUUCGUAUCGAUCAUCUUCCACCAACAUAUUACGUCGGGACAUUUCCUGGUGAAUAAAUACAAAUACCUCGGGGCAUUCCCCGACCAAAUGAAUACACUUUUCAAAUGCGGCAAACAAGACAUUCAACAAAUAUUUCAAACAUUUCAAUAAUCCCCCCAUUCUAAAUUUCCCUACCCGGCGUAAUGUUUGUCUGCCCGCUCGACGACAUAUCACAUUCAACAUCAACCAUAAAUCAAAAUACCAUAAUAUUCCUUUUUUACUAAUUUUCGAUCCCCGUCCUGGUUCAUUCUCAACCAAUGAUUAACACAACAUCCAACACUUUUCAAAUUACUUUCAAAAUCCGAAACCAACAUCCAACACAUACACCCAACGAAGAUUCAAACUAAGGACACGAGUCAUCCACAACAACAAUCAAUAUUUUAGCUCAAAGUAUGCAAAACCACACCAUAAAAUCACAACAUUAACCAAAAUUUGAGAAAAUGAAAGAGUGAAGUUAAGAGAUGGACCUUCAAAGAAUCAAUUUCGUAGAUAAUAUAGAAUUAAAGGAACCCUAAUCCGAGACCCCAAAUAGGAAAACCUCAACAACUAUAAAAUACAAGUACGGUAUCGAAGAACUGAGACAUGAAAUGGAAUUCAACGAAUGGUUAUGAAAAACCGAAGCCUAAAUCCCCAAGCCAACAACGACUACCGAUGAACCUGAGACAGAAAUUGCAACAACACAAACCCAAAUUAAAUUGCAAAGCAAUGAGAAAACCGUACUAGAAUUCGCAUACCAAUCACAGUUUCAACCGUUUUCCAAUGAACUUCACCGGAAUCAGACUGAAAUGGAUCAAACUUGGUUGAUUUUGUCUAAUUAUGGGGUCAAGCCGAUGCUGUUUUGGUCAGAAAUCGGGGCUAGUGAUGUUUUCCGAUGGAUUUGACCAUAUUUGUAGUGGCUUUGGCGCGUUUUCGGUGAGAUUGUCCUCAAAACAGUAACCGCCACUCUCUUCUCCCUGAAUUUCAAUCGUGGAUCUCUCUAUCUCUCGUCGUUUCUCACUAUGUGGCUAUGUGUAUCGUGUGCGUGUAUGAGUGUUUCUUCUCUGGUGAGGUGUGUUAAUGGCCUUCUCGUGCAUGAAUAAUGGGUGUAUAUAUGCUAUGAGGUGUGCUAGAGAGUGUAAGUGGGGAUUACUUUUUGUGAGCCCUUUUUUUUCGAGGGAUCCCCUGAAGAAGAAGAAGCCUCAAAAAAUCUUUUCUCCCUUGGUCCCCCCUUUCUUUUCUAUUUUUGUUGUGUAUAUAUGGUAUAUGCAGAUAGUGAGUGGAAUUAUGAGAGUGGGUGGGGCAGUGGGUACACGUGGGUAGGGGUGAGGGGUAGGGUGUGGGGUGGUGAUGUGUUGUCCAAAAUUGAUAGGAGGAGUGGUUAAUUUUGUUACCAAAAGAAUAAUUGAGGAUUAAGUUUGUUAGUGGGUUUGUUAUUAUUUUUUUUUUGUAUUUUUGUGGGGUAUAAUUCACAUGGGUAAGGGUGUAUGAUAAAGUAAGGAAAAAAUGAUAUCGGGGAGGGACAAAAUUAGGGGUCUACUGUUAAAACAUAAAUGAAAUUACAAAAAUUCUAAUCUAUGCAACUUUCCUUGACUUGAAUUUCAUCACCCUAUUCUUCAGGUGGGCUCUUGACUUGCACUUUCUUCAACUUAUAGCUUGCCUUUCAAUCUCUUCACCCUGUUCUCCAGGUGGGUUCCUGACUUGCUAUUUCAUCAACUUCUUGCUAUGCUUUCCAAUUUCUACACCCUGUUCUCCAGGCGGAUUCCUGACUUGCUAUUUCAUCAACUUGUUUCUAUGCUUUCAAUUUUUUUCACCUUGUUCUGCGGGCGGGCUCCUGACUUGCUAUCUCAUCAACUUGUUUCUAUGCUUUUCAAUUUCUACACCUUGUUCUCUAGGCGGGUUCCUGACUUGCUAAUUUUCAAUCUGUUUAAAUUUCAAUUUCUUCACCUUGUUGCUUGGUUUUCCAUUUAUUUGCCCUGUGCUUUGGGCAUGCUCCUGAAAUCACAUCAAAAUUGAAACGAAAAUUAUGCCAAAUAAAGAAAUGCAUUUUCUAUGAGUUAAUUGGAAUGACUCGACUAAAAGGUACGUCUUUUAGGAAUCAAGGGGGAUAACUCGACUAAAAGGUACGUCUAAUAGGAAUCCGGGGGAUGACUCGACUAAAAGGUACGUCUUAUAGGAAUCAAAGGGAAUGACUCAACUAAAAGGUACGUCUUCUAGGAAUCAAGGGAAAUAACUCGACUAAAAGGUACGUCUUCUAGGGUUCAAAGGGGAUGACUCGACUAAAAGGUACGUCUUAUUGGAAUCAAAGGGAAUGACUCGACUAAAAGGUACGUCUUAUAGAAAUCAAUAGGAAUGACUCGACUAAAAGGUACGUCUUAUAGGAAUCAAAGGGGAUGACUCAACUAAAAGGUACGUCUUCUAGGAGUCAAGAUAAAUGACUUGACUAAAAGGUACGUCUUAUAGGAAUCAAAGGGGAUGACUCGAGUAAAAGGUACGUCUUAUAGGAAUCAAAGGGGAUGAAUCGACUAAAAGGUAUGUUUUAUAGGAAUCAAAGGGGAUGACUCGACUAAAAGGUACGUCUUAUAGGAAUCAAAGGGGAUGACUCGACUAAAAGAUACGUCUUAUAGGAAUCAUAGGGGAUGACUCGACUAAAAGGUACGUCUUAUAGGAAUCAAGACUUAAGUUAGGAAGUGCAUUACCUAAGAAGCAAAAUUUGAAUUACACAAUCAAGGAAGUGUGUUUUCUUAUCAAUGUUGUGUGAAUUAUCAAAUCAAGGGAGUGCGUCUCUUAGAGAUCUUGAAAUAUGAGUUUUACCAUGGUUUUGAUUACCAAACUUGUGCAGCAACCUUGCCUCUUGCAUUUGUUGAGGUGAGAAAUUAUGGCCUUUAAUGUUUAGGCUCUAAAUUCCUUGAUCUGAAUGCAACAUGUAUUCCUAUUAUAUACAAAGAAAACUUGUGAGUUUAAAAACAUGGUGGCUAGUUUGUGGCUUUGGAUUUUGAGGCAAUUGCUCCUGCCCCCAUCACAUUUAGCUUUGCUUCUAACCAUUAGCAUAUGCCAUUGACUUGUUGUAUCAUUGACUCAAACUUAGCUUAUAAAGAGUGACUCUGAAACAAACACAGUAUUUCUGCUUUGUCGUGUUUCUCAAAUAAACCCUUUGAAUCUUGGUAUUUCCAUGAGUUCCCCGACUUCUCUAUUGACAAAACUUCCUGCAUGCCUUUUUUGGGCUCAUAAUCAUGUCUCUUUUAUGUUCUAGCUUUUGUCUUGCUUUAUGCAAUUAAAGAAGUUGGUAGCCAAUUUUGAAAUCUUUUCUCACUUAUUUUGACACAGACUUGACUCAAACACAAGAAACAAAAAAAAAGAAUGACAAUUUUUGUUUAAUAACUGACUUAAGAAAGAUAAAAUUGAAAUAAAGAGAAGAAAGAAAAGACAAUGAAUGUCCCCUUUUAAAAAAAAGAAACGAAAAAUUCAUCUAAAAAUGACAGUCAACACUAAUGAUUAUGAUUGCAUUUAAGACCCCAUGCGGCUAGUGGCGCCUUGAAGGGUUUUCGCCAACAAGCUUCUUUUAUUUUCUCUCAGCUCACUAUUGCCUUAUGGUUCCCAUGAGGGUUUUCACUAAUAAGACUCUCUCAUUUUUAUUUCUCUCAACUUUCCAUUGCCUUAUGGUGCCCUAAGGGUUUUCACCAAUAAGACUCUCUCAUUUUUAUUUCUCUCUUAAUUCCCUAUGCUGAGGAAGUUAAAUAGUUUCCAAAUGCAUCAUCAUAUCCCUUGCAUGCUCUGCCUUAACAUCCUCAAAAAUUGAUCUGAAGGUCUUUCUUUGGUUGUAACUUGGCUUUUUAAUAAGGUUAGAAAUAAAGGAUAGCAUGGGGCCCAAACGAUACUUGAAGUGGGGUAGGACUUACAACUUUUGGAAUCGACUAAAACAAUGAGGAUUAAGUCAUGCCCCAGUUUCUUUUGACUGGGUGACUCUAAAUUGUUUAUUUGGUUGGACCGAGCCUUGAGUAGGGCAGCCUACGUAUCUCACCCUCGAGAGAGGAGAAUCAGGUCAUGCGUAGUUCUGGCAGCUUGUUUUUUUCACUUGAUUCUAUGGUUUUUUUUCUUUUGUUGACUCUUUUUAUCUUUGGGAAUUUUCUAACUUUAUUUUUCUUGAUGCUCUCCUUUUCCUCCUUUUGGAAACAUUUUUCUCUUUUUUUUUUUGAAACUUUUUUGACUCUACUGUUUUUCCUGACACCUUUUCUUUUGAGUUUUGUUGACUCUAUAUGAUUCCAAAAAAAGGGUAUGAAAUAAAAUAACACUAAGGCCCAAAUGGGGGACAAAGGAUGACACGAUGUUUGGAUAGUAGAAUGAAAGGCCUCCGUCAAAUCAAUCCUUACAAAUGCAAGUACAUAUCAUGCAAUAUGAAAAUGAAAGAUUAACAUCAUUUGUGGAACAUUAACAACACUAACUUCAACUGAGCAUGUAUGUCACUUCUUUUUCUACACUUGUCAAACAUACAACUCCAUUUUCGUUGUACAUUCCUCAUGCUGAAGGACUCAUGACUUCGUGGAGCUGAUUUUCUUUCUGUUCCUCUUGAUAUAGGAUCACACAGCCACUGUUUGACCUAAUCGAGACAUGUAUUUCAAUUUAUGACCAAGUUAGUCUUGCCUUGAUUUUGAAAGAAGACUUCAACUUGGUCACCAAAUGUCUCAACACUCUACCUAUUUUCUCAGAUGUUUUUUCUACUCAGAUGUUUUUUCUAACUUUAACCCUCUGUUCCAUGCUCAUGCUUCAACUGUAUUUUAAAAUCUGGCUGAAAAUUCCACAGGCAUGUCAUAUCACUAGAAUCAACAUAAAGUGACUGUAUAAAGAAAACAAACAAACAACACAUAUUUGAAACACAAAAGGAAAGGGACACUUCAUUUAGUUGAAAUAAAAGAUAAAAGGAUUUGAACAUAAACGACAAAGGGACAAAACAAAAUAGAUCCCGAACUACAACCCUGAAAUAAUUUGAAAAAUAGAAUAGAAAACAAAACAAACUACCAGACCUCUUCCUAGUAGGGAGAGGGGUGACUUUUCAAUUGCUCAGCCUGACAUAUUAGCCACUGGUUUUCAUAUCAACACGACUAGAGCUUCCACCACUGUCAGACAUAUUUCCUUCAAUAAAUAAGCUCUGUAUAUCCAUGCUUAACUCAUUGCCUCUCACAUAUUGUGCAGUACCGCGUGCUGGUGAAGAACUCUGUGGGAUGGUUGAAGGGCCAAUGUUUUGCACCACAAUUAAUUUAUCUUGAAUUAUCUUUUCUAUUUCUCUUUUCAAAGUGCGACAAUCUUCAGUACUAUGACCCUGAACAUCAGAAUGAUAUUAACAUCGCACAUUAGGAUAAAGCUUCUUGAAUGUGGUUCAGGAGUAUACCCAAGGAGAGGAGUAAUCAUGCCCUACUGUACCAAUCUCUGGAAUAAACUGGCAUAGGAUUCCCCAAUAGGAGUGAAAUUAUCUUUUUCCUUCCUCCUCUUUCCGAACUCUAGCCUCGGAUGAAAUUUAGAUUUAGAGGUCCCUUGGUAAAUUUAUGGGGGUCGAGGAUAAUGUUGAGGGACAGGUGAAUGCCAUUGUGGAUAAGAAGAUGGAUGAGCAUACAAUUGUGUAUUGUUCAUAGGAUAUCGAGGAAGUGGAAUGGGAUUUCUUGGAUUUUGGAGAAAGAAACCUUGUUGCAAGUGGUUAUGUGGAUCUGAUANNNNNNNNNNNNNNNNNNNNNNNNNNNNNNNNNNNNNNNNNNNNNNNNNNNNNNNNNNNNNNNNNNNNNNNNNNNNNNNNNNNNNNNNNNNNNNNNNNNNNNNNNNNNNNNNNNNNNNNNNNNNNNNNNNNNNNNNNNNNNNNNNNNNNNNNNNNNNNNNNNNNNNNNNNNNNNNNNNNNNNNNNNNNNNNNNNNNNNNNNNNNNNNNNNNNNNNNNNNNNNNNNNNNNNNNNNNNNNNNNNNNNNNNNNNNNNNNNNNNNNNNNNNNNNNNNNNNNNNNNNNNNNNNNNNNNNNNNNNNNNNNNNNNNNNNNNNNNNAAUUUUGAUGUCUCAAAGCUGGGAGGAAGGUUAACACUUGAAGACAUGCCCCAGGUUUUAUAUGAAACAUCUUCAUAGCCCAUAAGUCCAGGGGAAUUUUUCAUAUCAUUUUCUACACUCUUUACUUUCCCAACCACUCUCUCUGGCUCUUUUGGCAUGCUAGUCUUCUUAGUAAGAAAUUUUGGCGGUUCACUUAACUUAACUGUAGGCUCAAGAGUAUACCAAUGAUCAUCAACAGUAUUGAACGUGGAGUCACUAGUAGACUGGGGAAGCACAAUUAUUGGAUUGAUAGACAAAGUGGAAGCCUUAGUAGAAGGUUGAGCAACAAAAGCACAGACGGUAUGUUGUGCUGUGAAUGUGGUUGUGGUAGACUUAUACUGAGGAGAUAAAGAAAGAGUAGUGGAAGUGUUGACGUGCAUUUGAUGUGGAAUGGAUUCUGAGGCAUGCUGUGGUGCAUCAACAACAGUAGGAAACUGAUUUUGCAAUUUUGGUGGAAGACUCAAGGUAUUUGCAGGGUCAAAACUGGGGAACGGGGGUGGAGGCAGCCCACUGGCCCAAGCUCGAUACAUUCCCAUCAUUUGUUGUCUCAAUCUCAAAUUCUCUUCCUUUAAACUCUCAAUUUCCUGACUCUUUGUUUCAUCUAUGAUGACACUCUCUAUAUCCUUAUUGGACACAACUAACCCUUCCUUGGAUUUAGUGUGAUAUGGAGGACCAACCAGGAAACCACAAACCAACCACCUUAAACUAACUGAACAAGAGACAACAAAUAUGUUAGAGUUCAACAUUUUUCAAAAACCUUUUUUUUUCUUGAAAAAAUAUCACCGAACCCUAGAAGGGUGCCUACGUAUCUCACCCUCGAAAGGGGAGAAUCAGGUGUGCGUAGUUCGUGAAGUUAUGCCAAAAUGGCCAAUUGAACUCUUUUUCUUUUUUUUUCCUCGAAACUUUAAGAAGAAAAGAAAAUAACAAUUUGUCAAAAGAAUUGACGAAAAUGUUUUUGAAUUUUUCAGCUUUAACAUCCCUAUACAAAGUGAAAUCUAUGAUUACCAAAGAAAAUCUUUUUGGGUUUUCAGUUUUAAAUUUCAUAUGAAAAUGGAACUUGAACCUAUUAAAGAAAAAUCUUUUUGUAGUUUUCUUUUAAAGAUGUAUAUGAAACACCUACUCUAAAUGAAGAAUGAAGAAAAUCUUUUUUGAAUUUUUGAACUAAGAUCAAUCAAAAAUGAAACCUACGACUAUUGAGAAUUUUUUUUUCUUUGUAUUUUUCUUUUCAAUACAUGUAUGAAACACCUACUCUAAAUGAAGAGUGAAAAAAAAUCUUUUUUAAUUUUUUUUUAAAUAAGAUUCCGGAACCAACAAUAGGUUGCCUACGUAUCUCACAUCCCCAAAGAGGAGAAUCAGGGGUGCGUAGUUCAUCCAAUUUGGACAAUUAAGGAUUCACUGAUAGAUUGACCCUAACUUAAGAGACACGACCAAGGACAGAUGAAUAAAAUCUUUUUGAGGUUUUCAAUUUGAGACUUCACAUAAAACUGACACCAACAACUCCGAAAGAAAAAUCUUUUUGGCAUUUUUGUUAUAAGAAAUAUACAAAACUUCUACUAACUUUUUUUCAUUUUUCUUUUAUAAAAGCUCCUGUAAAAAAAAUCUUUUUUGGAAUUUUUGAAUUAUGAAUGCAUGGUAAAGGAGUAAAGGAAGAUCUUUUUGAAUUCUUUAAGAAAAUGAGUGCGAAAGGUAAAAAAUCUUUUUGAAUUGUGAAAAACAAAAGUCAUAAAGAACUCUAAAAAUAAACUACGAAACUCUUUUUUUUUAUUCACCCUUUUUUUUCAACACUUUCUUGUCUACGCACUUUACUUCUAACACAUGUUUUUCCCAAAUCGGUCCGUCAAAUGACCAUAUUACCCUCAGAGAUGCCACAUUUAGCACGUAGGGAUGCUUUAGAGGUGAGUUUCCUACAAAGGGCCGUGUGGGUUCCUCUAGGUCUCAAUAUGAUGCACAUAAGAAUGACCUAAAGGCUGACCUACGUUGUGGUUUACUAACAAGGCCGUUCGGGGAAGCAUAUGGUCGAUAGUGGCUACUUUUCUUUCCACCUACUCCAUACAUCCAACGGCUCCCCCCCAAAAUAAGGUGACUCAACUAGAGUUCGUGCGCACGAUGUGCCCUCUAAGACUUGUUGACUCGGGUUAUGCACAUGAUGUCAGAUAUAAAAGCGGUAACACAUAGGAUAAAUACUGUAAACAAAGAGCACGAAAACGCACAAAAGUGAAAGCACAAACAAAAAUCACAAGCAAUGCUUAUACACUCGUAAUGCCAAACAAAGCCAAUAUGACUUCGAAAAAAGCUCGGAUUCUGAAAUAGUUCCCCAGCAGAGUCACCAAAGCUUUCACAUUCCUUUUUCGUACUCUAAAAAAUUAUGGAUUAAGUUUCGAAAGGGUUUUUAUUAUUAAAGUGACAAAAGAUGAAAAUUAGUUUCGAAAAGGACUUUUUAUAUUCAAAACUCAGAGUCGCCACUUGGCAUAAUCUGGUGUGCCAAGUCAUCUUUGUAAAUCCUUUUCAAAAUGAUUUUUGACUAUUUUAAACUGAUCCGCGAAAAGAGAUUUCGGCUAAGGAAUUCUGUUGAUUGAGUGGAAGGUGUUAGGCACCCCUCGAUCCCGUGGUUCGACCACGGUCGCUUGGUGGAGUGUAUCGACUAAUUUGACAUUACAAAUAUAUAAACCACACAAAAACACAUACAACAAUCAAUCAAACACACAAAAUAAAACAAAUCCAAAAUUUAGUGUUCAGUCUAAUUAUACAGGCCCAAAUAAAUAAAAAUACAAAAAUAAAUCCUAUCUAACCGACACUAAUCCUAACUACGCUCUCGUGCUUUACCCGAUGCCUCGGACCUUGAUCACGAACCU